Molecule: ribosomal RNA, 253 nt
Filed under: uncultured bacterium
Lineage: Bacteria
Description: partial 16S ribosomal RNA
Rfam family: Bacterial small subunit ribosomal RNA
Source: RNAcentral
UACGGAGGGUGCAAGCGUUAUCCGGAUUCACUGGGUUUAAAGGGUGCGUAGGUGGGAUGGUAAGUCAGUGGUGAAAUCUCCGGGCUUAACUCGGAAACUGCCGUUGAUACUAUCAUUCUUGAAUCUCGUGGAGGUAAGCGGAAUAUGUCAUGUAGCGGUGAAAUGCUUAGAUAUGACAUAGAACACCAAUUGCGAAGGCAGCUCACUACGGGAUUAUUGACACUGAGGCACGAAAGCGUGGGGAUCAAACAGG